RNAcentral lists this ribosomal RNA (509 nucleotides) under Triticum aestivum (bread wheat). RNAcentral's name for it is "partial small subunit ribosomal RNA". Lineage: Eukaryota; Viridiplantae; Streptophyta; Magnoliopsida; Poales; Poaceae. The record is from RNAcentral.
CUCGGAGUUGUGGAGGGUGUCCAACUCUUUUUUUGUUUGUUUGUUUGUUUUUGCGGGUGGAGGGUGUCCAACUCCACGGCGAGGGAGCGCUGUAGACAGCACCUCCUUGGACGUGGUGAUGAAGAAGGCCAUGCCAGGGCUGCUCAGGUCGAUGUACUGCCCGAAGAUGGCAAGGACGAAGGUCGUGUAGAAGGAGCGCGCGGCCCGGAACGGGUGGAAGGCGUGCCCUUUCUGCUGGAUGGUGCCGUUGGUCAGCAUGAGGAGGCCGUUGGGCGUGACCUUGGCCACACCGUCGAGAGUGAGGUUCGUGCCGGCAAAGCCAUUGUAGGCGAACUGCCAACCGUCGUCGCUGCCGACCGUGGCCGCGAGACCGCGAUCGGCAGCCACAAGGAGAAGGAGCAGAGUGACCAAGUGGUGGAAAAGCUCGAGAGGCAUGGUUUGUGCGUCAAUUUGCUCGGCGUCUUUGGUAAGUAGUACUACUUGAUUGGUUCGUGUCUGGAUUGUAAACC